GAUGAACGCUAGCGGCAGGCUUAAUACAUGCAAGUCGUGGGGCAGCAGGUUUGUAGCAAUACAGAUGCUGGCGACCGGCAAAACGGGGUGCGGAACACGUACAGAACCUUCCUUUGAGCGGGGAAUAGCCCAGAGAAAAUUUGGAUUAAUACCCCAUAGUAUAAUGAAAGUGGCAUCACUUUAUUAUUAAAGAAUUUAAUUCACUCGAAGAAUGGCUGUGCGGCUGAUUAGGUAGUUGCGGGUAAAGGGACCCACCCAAAGCCUGCGAUCAGUAACUGGUGUGAGAGCACGACCAGUCACACGGGCACUGAGACACGGGCCCGACUCCUACGGGA
This 335-nucleotide ribosomal RNA is filed under the name uncultured bacterium. RNAcentral describes it as "bacterial SSU rRNA". It matches the Rfam family "Bacterial small subunit ribosomal RNA", at positions 28 to 346 of the family's 1533-position model. The record is from RNAcentral.